This 134-nucleotide small nuclear RNA is filed under the name Lynx canadensis (Canada lynx). Its description in RNAcentral is "U2 spliceosomal RNA (ENSLCNG00005008765.1)". It matches the Rfam family "U2 spliceosomal RNA", at positions 1 to 127 of the family's 192-position model. From Rfam's summary of the family: U2 is a small nuclear RNA (snRNA) component of the spliceosome (involved in pre-mRNA splicing). Complementary binding between U2 snRNA (in an area lying towards the 5' end but 3' to hairpin I) and the branchpoint sequence (BPS) of the intron results the bulging out of an unpaired adenosine, on the BPS, which initiates a nucleophilic attack at the intronic 5' splice site, thus starting the first of two transesterification reactions that mediate splicing. Lineage: Eukaryota; Metazoa; Chordata; Mammalia; Carnivora; Felidae. The record is from RNAcentral.
AUUGCUUCUUGGCCUUUUGGCUAAGAUCAAGUGUAGUAUAUGUUCUUAUCAGUUUGUAACACCAUUGUGUUGUUUAAAAAAAAUUUUUUUUUCAACGUUUAUUUAUUUUUGGGACAGAGAGAGACAGAGCAUGA